Solea solea (common sole) is the source of this 643-nucleotide long non-coding RNA. RefSeq lists it as uncharacterized. The record is from RefSeq and is a predicted model, not a curated record. The transcript has 4 exons. Lineage: Eukaryota; Metazoa; Chordata; Actinopteri; Pleuronectiformes; Soleidae.
UCUCAUCACCUUGUGCUGAAGUCAGCAGCACAAUAGUGCAACAGAUUCUAGUGAGUCCUCUGAAUGACUGUCCUCAAUGUCAAUAUACGCUUUUGUCAGCCACCCCUACGACAGUCAUCGCCAACCACACGUCUGCUGAUGGACUCAAGAGCGCAAGCUUAAUCUUCUCCUUCAGUCCCAUGAUGAUCGGUGGCUGCACUGUGAUUGCGCUGUCGUCUUCUCCUCGAGACACCAGUGUCAUUGUUAGUGGAGACAACUACUGCAACCUCUACUACCUUCUGUCAACGAGUGGACUCGCCUCAACACCAGGCUUCAAAGACAUGACCAAUGCAUGGGCUUGCCUGGGUUAUGGACUCACCUGUUAGAACUCACAAGCCUUAAAAGUUCAAACAUGUGUCUUGACCUGUUACUACUAUAGUAGCAUAGACCAGUGGUUGACAGAAGGUUGCAGGGAUGUGGUUAAUGUGGUGAUAUAAUCAAAGGAAACUGAGCAGAAAAGCAGUUUGCAGGAUGUGUUGUUUGUUUGUGUUAUCAUGUCUGAUUUUUAUUGGAUGAACAUGAAUAUUCUGACACACUGGACUGAAUGUAAAGUAAACCCCCUUUUAAGACACUGAUAGAAUGUCAAUAAAAGGUUGCAAUUCAA